Non-coding RNA from Pelobates cultripes (western spadefoot toad), 603 nucleotides. Lineage: Eukaryota; Metazoa; Chordata; Amphibia; Anura; Pelobatidae. The record is from the annotation of a GenBank genome assembly.
GUCAAAACCGCCGUUUAGUGAAUCCUCCCCUCUCGCAAUAAUGCAAGCUCCAUUCGUAUAGACUCCAAUCGUACGAACUGCAAGCAGGGGAAUGCGCCAACCUCCCGAACGGGACCUGUAUGGAUACUCCAGCUCUCGAGCGGUAAACCCACGAAUCGCUGCUGACAGCCAAAUCAAUAUACCAUCCAAGCGGCUUACAGUUCCAGCAAUCAGUCGCUAUCCGUGUGUAGUAAAUCCCCCCAAUAACGAGACCAAGCUCCGCAUUGAGGGUAAAACAAGAACUGGGUUUACUGUGGGCUACCCGCCCGUAUUUAUGCAGGUCUCCCACUUGGUGAACACUCCCCUAGGGGACCAAAUGGGAGACUGUAAUGGCAGACAGACAUUUAGCAUGUUAGGACACACAGGCACAUAAUAUUCCCAGCAUGCAUCAUGGUUUCCUCCCCUUUGCCCUGGAGAUAAUUGAGAAGUAAUUCAAUUAUCUCCCAGGACAGAGGCAAAUCGCCAUUUUAGAUGGAACAUAAAAACCACAUAAAAAUACAUAAUUAUACAACUACCGAAUAUAUUCCAUUCGUGCAACGUAUACCCAGAUAGCGCUCAGAUCCC